GAUGAACGCUGGCGGCGUGCCUAAUACAUGCAAGUCGAGCGAACGGACGAGAAGCUUGCUUCUCUGAUGUUAGCGGCGGACGGGUGAGCAACACGUGGAUAACCUACCUAUAAGACUGGGAUAACUUCGGGAAACCGGAGCUAAUACCGGAUAAUAUUUUGAACCGCAUGGUUCAAAAGUGAAAGACGGUCUUGCUGUCACUUAUAGAUGUAUCCGCGCUGCAUUAGCUAGUUGGUAAGGUAACGGCUUACCAAGGCAACGAUGCAUAGCCGACCUGAGAGGGUGAUCGGCCACACUGGAACUGAGACACGGUCCAGACUCCUACGGGAGGCAGCAGUAGGGAAUCUUACGCAAUGGGCGAAAGCAUGACGGAGCAAAGCCGCGUGAGUGAUGAAGGUCUUCGGAUCGUAAAACUCUGUUAUUAGGGAAGAACAUAUGUGUAAGUAACUGUGCACAUCUUGACGGUACCUAAUCAGAAAGCCACGGCUAACUACGUG
This 497-nucleotide ribosomal RNA is filed under the name uncultured bacterium. RNAcentral describes it as "partial 16S ribosomal RNA". It matches the Rfam family "Bacterial small subunit ribosomal RNA", at positions 28 to 507 of the family's 1533-position model. The record is from RNAcentral.